GCCAGCAGUUCUAUCACCCUGCAACUCGCAGCUGGCAGCCCGUUGGAGCACAGCAGGUGUGAGCCUGGUCAGUACCUGGAUGGGAGACCUCCUGGGAAAAACAAAUGUUGCUGCUGGAA
RNAcentral lists this ribosomal RNA (119 nucleotides) under Lepisosteus oculatus (spotted gar). The record is from RNAcentral. Lineage: Eukaryota; Metazoa; Chordata; Actinopteri; Semionotiformes; Lepisosteidae.